AUGCAUUUUUUCUUUCCAGUACACAUCAAAUAACAACUUUUCUUGAAUACCCAUUUGAUUCUAGAACAGGAAAGUAAGGAAUAUUAUGUUACAAAAUGGGUAGUAAAAGUCAACAUCUUGAGAAGUUUGACAUUUUAUGAAUAGCACCAUCCUUUUAUUACAUACAGGGAUCAUUCCAACGAUUUGGUAAGUCGCUCUAUUUUUUCUACAUAUGCAAUCUUUUAGGUUUAUUAGUGCAUUGGUUCUUUAAUUGGAGUCAAUUUUCGCACUUUUUAGCACUUAAUUAUAUAUAUUCCUAUGUUAGAUCUAUGUAUCUGUUGAAAGGGUGAAGUAUAAGGUUCAAUAAAUGAUUGUCUCAGUUUUUUUGGUACAUUCUUAGGUCUUGCAUGAAGGUAGUGUUGAUAUCUGAAGAGGAUGGAGAAGAGGGGACUUGUGUUUGUUUUUGUGAAGUGAAUCUAUAAAGCACAAUUGAGCUAGGGACUUGUGUUUAUUUUUGUCAAGAUUCUUACACAGAUGUGUUAGUUUAUAGAAGGAUUAAUGUGCCGUAGUUUUGUACCACUAUAUUUGUUAAUUUACCUUUUGUUAUAUUUUUUUGUUUACUUUUAUUCUUAGGGUUUCUUGAAUAUUUGUUCUAGGUUUCAUGUUUGGCUGAAUUCAAGAAGUUCGAGAGACUAGACCUCACCUUCAAUAAUCUGUUGUCACACGAGGUUGAAGGAGCUGUGUUGGAAGAUGGACGUACUUGCAGCAUUUGGGACAAAUUUGCACAUGAAAUUAAAUAAUAAUACGACAUCGUUUUCGUUCAGCUGUUUAGUUGGAACUUGUAGUCGACUCAUUCAGGUGUUUGGAUGUGUGUUUUCGGUUUGAAGUAUAAUUUCCUAAUGAGUUGUCCUCAAUGGGACAUUAUGGUGUUAACUGGUGUGCUCACAACCAACCAAAAGCUAGGAGUUGUUCAAAACUUUUUUACUAAUGUUUUGGAUCCAAAAAAUGGCCUUUAGCUAUUUGUGUUGGGUUUGGAUUGACGACCACCCCGUUUUCCACCCACCAAACCAUUUAAAUUC
Molecule: long non-coding RNA, 1058 nt
Filed under: Helianthus annuus (common sunflower)
Lineage: Eukaryota; Viridiplantae; Streptophyta; Magnoliopsida; Asterales; Asteraceae
Source: RNAcentral